This is a ribozyme of Cricetulus griseus (Chinese hamster), 301 nucleotides long. It matches the Rfam family "Nuclear RNase P". From Rfam's summary of the family: Ribonuclease P (RNase P) is a ubiquitous endoribonuclease, found in archaea, bacteria and eukarya as well as chloroplasts and mitochondria. Its best characterised activity is the generation of mature 5'-ends of tRNAs by cleaving the 5'-leader elements of precursor-tRNAs. The record is from Ensembl. NCBI's taxonomy places the organism in Eukaryota, Metazoa, Chordata, Mammalia, Rodentia, Cricetidae.
GGCAGAGGAAAAUGCUCAUCAGCAGGGCCACGUGCUGAGUGCUCCUCAUUCCCCAGCCUCUGGGAAAGUCUGAGACUGGGUACUCCCAAGGCCCUAACGGGGCCCUCCCUAAGUGGGGAGGUGAGUUCCCAGAGAUCAGGGCUCCAUGCUUGGGUAGACUGGGCAGGAGAGGGCCGGAGUAGGCAGAUGCCUCCCUCACCAGAGCUUGGAACAGACUCACAGCCAGCGCAGAGUGAGUUCAAUGGCUGAAGUGAGGUACCUCCUAGACCUCAUAACACAAUUCACACUGAUCUCACCUGCC